GCGGAUGUAGUUCAGGGGUAGAACACAACCAUGCCACGGUUGAGAUGCGGGUACAACUUCCGCCAUUCGCUCCA
RNAcentral lists this transfer RNA (74 nucleotides) under Olavius sp. associated proteobacterium Delta 1. Its description in RNAcentral is "tRNA-Gly-GCC". It matches the Rfam family "tRNA". From Rfam's summary of the family: Transfer RNA (tRNA) molecules are approximately 80 nucleotides in length. The record is from RNAcentral. Lineage: Bacteria; Deltaproteobacteria.